UUUGCUCAGCUGCUGUUGGUGGGGGGUUUAAAGCUCCCAAGUGCUUGCUAGGCAUGGGUCUUACCAGUCAUGUGCAUCUGCAGCCUCUCAACGGGUUACCCCCACCCCUAGACGGAGUCCGGCCUCGUAUACAGGUGAACUCAUCCUGGAGGUGAAUGCCUGUCUCAGGUGAGAUGCCUUGAUCUUGGAAGGGUGCCUGGAGUGAGUCUUGUCCAGCUCCUGAUCCAGCUACCCAGAUUAAAGAUGCAGGAGUGGAUGGUUCCACUGCACUGAGUGACAGCAGGUAGCCAGAGGCCUGGGGUCAGAAGUGCCUGGAAUGGUGAGAGCCUUCGAAUUCCUGCCACCAGGGGAUGGGCAGUCAACUAGUGGAGCUGCAGGGCUGCCUGGAAGCACACUCAUCUGAGCACAGCAGGUUGAAGUGUGCGGACCAGAUGCAGCUUUGCAUCACCCCUCCCUCCAGGAGGAAGAGCUCUCCCUGCUAAGCUGUGACAAACCCAGCAGCAGCUUGGUGUUGGCAAGGGCAGUCAGCCCCUUAGUGUGCGGUUCUCUGUGUAGUGACUGUUAAAUAAAACAUUUCUGCACAGAGC
Molecule: long non-coding RNA, 587 nt
Organism: Dermochelys coriacea (leatherback sea turtle)
Lineage: Eukaryota; Metazoa; Chordata; Testudines; Dermochelyidae
Exons: 12
Source: RefSeq, a predicted model, not a curated record